CUGGAUGAUGUGCGUCCUUUAUGAAACGUAAUGCCAUGGUCAUUUGAUAUGAGAUGCUUGUGUAGCAGGCUGUGCCUCUACUGAGUGUUACGUGUUCCGAAGUCUAGACGUGAUGAAUGGGCGGGUCUACUACUACAGGGCAAGCGUGGGUCCUGUGUGGGUCAAAGGUGGUGGUUAUGACCUCUGGUCCAUCCUUUGGCUUACUCUACUGCUAAGAUAGCUGCACUUUGUGAGCCGAGACUGCAUGUUUCACCGGCAAAGACGAGAUUGGCCACCAGGCGAGUGUCCGCUCUCACAAGGGUCUGCUGUUUUAUCUUGUCCAUUUUGUCUUGUUUUUGUGACUUGUUUAAUCAAACUCUCCAUACUCUGGUCAUCCUAGCGUGGGCUGCUAGCUUUGGUUGCUGGGGCUUGGUUGUUUACCUCACGCUUGCUGCUUAUCUACAGCUUGCUUUGUCUACAGCUUGCUUUGUUACGAUGAUUAUUAUGUACUGCUGGUGAGUUUUGUAUCAUCUGUGUGUCGCUUUCUUUUCUUUUGUAUUACUCCAUAUUUUGUGUGUGUUUGUGGGUGUUUGUGGUUGUGUGUGCAUAUGGUCCUAUGUGCCUAACUUCUGCUACCCUGUAGUGGUGGAGGACGCCUGGGGUCUUAACCGAUGUGGUCCCUAUAGCAGGGCUCUGGGCCUCUCCUAGCAUUGUGCCACAAGCUAAGUACACUCUUCAUAUCAGAGCUAACUAAUAAUUUCUUAUCUAUUGGGUGGCAACUCCACCCUUAUAUGCAUGUAGCUGAUAUCUCUCUCUCCCUCCUCGACAGGAAUAGCUGGCCUACACUGGUGGUUCGCAGUCUCCGGGUGGUGGUCUUCCUCACUAGCCUCCCUACUUCCACAUGGUGUGUCUGACGUUGCAGUGUCGUCACCUGGUUGCAGUGGCCACAUCCUCGCCAUACCCCCGGCCUCCCUUCCACUUUAACGGGAGAGCUUGUCAUUGCUGUGGCUGCUGUGUUUUAUUGAAUUAAUUAUGCAUUUGUCCGUUUGCUACUAAAUAAACAUAUGUAUUGCAUCA
This is a long non-coding RNA of Alosa alosa (allis shad), 1056 nucleotides long. RefSeq lists it as uncharacterized. The record is from RefSeq and is a predicted model, not a curated record. The transcript has 5 exons. NCBI's taxonomy places the organism in Eukaryota, Metazoa, Chordata, Actinopteri, Clupeiformes, Clupeidae.